AUUAGUUUUCUCUGUGAUAAUACAAACUUUUUAAAUUUACUUGAAAUUAGUAGUAGUAGUAGUAGUAAACUACUAUAAUUUUUCUUGCUAGCUAGUUACAUCAUAGAAAAGAAAAUCCCAAAUCAUGUAAAACAUAUUAAAAUUUGGGUCUAGUUUGAUUUUCUGUUUCUUUAUACAUUUCAAGGCCACGAGAUUAUUUUAUUGCAAGAAGUUCUAUAAAAUCAAAAAAUUAAAUACAUUUCUUUCUAGUUUUGUGUUCCCUUCCCCACCUGCAACUUUCUCAUUUUGACAAAUUGGUUUUUUCUACUUUGUUUGGUGAGUUGUAUCUCUGUUUGAAGUUCUAUAAUCAACCCUAAUUUGCUUCCUCUAUGUUUAAUGUACAGAUUUUGAAGCAUGAUUGGCUAGCAAGAUGGCAAAGCUUUAUUCCUGAUCUUGUUUCAGCUGCUAAAACUAGUGAAACAAUUUGUGAGAAUUGCAUGGCUAUAUUGAAGGUUUCUCUCUCUCUCUUAAACUAUUGAGAAUUAGUAGGCACUAAUUACUUGAAUAUGUUUUCUUCAGCUUCUAAGUGAAGAGGUGCUUGAUUUCUCAAGAGGAGAGAUGACUCAAAGGAAGAUAAAGGAGCUUAAACAAUCAUUGAACAGUGAAUUUCAACUCAUUCAUGAGCUAUGCUUAUAUGUACUAUCAGCCUCUCAAAGAACUGAGCUUAUACGUGCAACACUCUCCACAUUGCACGCAUUUCUCUCAUGGAUUCCCCUGGGAUAUAUAUUUGAGUCUCCAUUGCUUGAAACGCUGCUGAAUUUUUUCCCCAUGCCAUCGUAUCGGA
Molecule: long non-coding RNA, 823 nt
Organism: Humulus lupulus (European hop)
Lineage: Eukaryota; Viridiplantae; Streptophyta; Magnoliopsida; Rosales; Cannabaceae
Exons: 3
Source: RefSeq, a predicted model, not a curated record